This 468-nucleotide ribosomal RNA is filed under the name uncultured bacterium. RNAcentral's name for it is "partial 16S ribosomal RNA". It matches the Rfam family "Bacterial small subunit ribosomal RNA", at positions 28 to 507 of the family's 1533-position model. The record is from RNAcentral.
GACGAACGCUGGCGGCGUGCUUAACACAUGCAAGUCGAACGGAAAGGCCCUGCUUUUGUGGGGUGCUCGAGUGGCGAACGGGUGAGUAACACGUGAGUAACCUGCCCUUGACUUUGGGAUAACUUCAGGAAACUGGGGCUAAUACCGGAUAGGAGCUCCUGCUGCAUGGUGGGGGUUGGAAAGUUUCGGCGGUUGGGGAUGGACUCGCGGCUUAUCAGCUUGUUGGUGGGGUAGUGGCUUACCAAGGCUUUGACGGGUAGCCGGCCUGAGAGGGUGACCGGCCACCUUGGGACUGAGGGACGGCCCAGACUGCUACGGGGGGCAGCGGUGGGGAAUAUUGCCCAAUGGGAGGAAGCCUGAUGAAGCAGCGCCGCGUGUGGGAUGACGGUUUUCGGGUUGUAAACAGCUUUAGCCUGUGACGAAGCGUGAGUGACGGUAAUGGAUAAAGAAGCACCGGCUAACUACGUG